RNAcentral lists this ribosomal RNA (805 nucleotides) under uncultured euryarchaeote. RNAcentral's name for it is "bacterial SSU rRNA". It matches the Rfam family "Archaeal small subunit ribosomal RNA", at positions 55 to 879 of the family's 1478-position model. Lineage: Archaea; Methanobacteriati; Methanobacteriota. The record is from RNAcentral.
GAGUCGUGAGUCUUAGGGACUCGGCAUACCGCUCAGUAACACGUGGAUAACCUGCCCUAUUGUCUGGAAUAACCUCGGGAAACUGAGAAUAAGGCCGGAUAGUUCACAAUGCCUGGAACGGUUUGUGAAUCAAGGUAGGAUGGGUCUGCGGCGUAUCAGGUUGUAGGGGGUGUAAAGGACCCCCUAGCCUUCGACGCGUACGGGUGUUGGGAGACAUAGCCCGGAGAUGGAUUCUGAGACACGAAUCCAGACCCUACGGGGUGCAGCAGGCGCGAAAACUUCACACUGCAGGAAACUGUGAUGAGGGAACUCCUAGUGCAUGCACUAUGUGUAUGUAGAUCCUACUCUUAACAAGUAGAGGGAAAGGGCUGGGAAAGACCGGUGCCAGCCGCCGCGGUAAUACCGGCAGCUCAAGUGGUCGUCGCUUUUAUUGGGCCUAAAACGUCCGUAGCCUGUUUGGUAAAUCUGUGGGUAAAUCAAUCCGCUCAACGGAUUGAAUUCUGCAGAGACUGCCAGACUAGGGACCGGGAGAGGUGUGGGGUACUCGAGGGGUAGGGGUAAAAUCCUGUCAUCCUUCGAGGACCACCAGUUGCGAAGGCGCCACACUGGAACGGAUCCGACGGUCAGGGACGAAGCCUAGGGGCACGAACCGGAUUAGAUACCCGGGUAGUCCUAGGUGUAAACGCUGUGAACUUGGUGUCGGGGGUCCGCAAGGGGUCCCCGGUGCCGGAGUGAAGAUGUUAAGCUCACUGCCUGGGGAGUACGGUCGCAAGGCUGAAACUUGAAGGAAUUGGCGGGGCAGCAC